ACUCCUACGGGAGGCAGCAGUAGGGAAUUUUCCGCAAUGGACGAAAGUCUGACGGAGCAAUGCCGCGUGAGUGAUGAAGGUUUUCGAAUCGUAAAGCUCUGUUGUAAGGGAAGAAUAGCAGUAGUAGGAAAUGACUACUGUGUGACGGUACCUUACCAGAAAGCCACGGCUAACUACGUGCCAGCAGCCGCGGUAAUACGUAGGUGGCAAGCGUUAUCCGGAUUUAUUGGGUUUAAAGGGUCCGUAGGCGGAUUAAUAAGUCAGUGGUGAAAUCCCAUCGCUUAACGAUGGAACUGCCAUUGAUACUGUUAGUCUUGAAUGAGGGUGCAGUGGUUGGAAUGUGUAGUGUAGCGGUGAAAUGCAUAGAUAUUACACAGAACACCGAUUGCGAAGGCAGAUCACUAACCCUAAAUUGACGCUGAGGGGACGAAAGCGUGGGGAGCGAACAGGAUUAGAUACCCUGGUAGACUGU
RNAcentral lists this ribosomal RNA (472 nucleotides) under uncultured bacterium. Its description in RNAcentral is "bacterial SSU rRNA". It matches the Rfam family "Bacterial small subunit ribosomal RNA", at positions 335 to 798 of the family's 1533-position model. The record is from RNAcentral.